CCCCCACAAAAAGAUCACUGCAACCCAUUGUCCCUUCUGCUUCAGUUCCAAGCUAUCAAAUUAGAGAAAUAAAAGAAUAAGAUUAAUAGAGAACUAAUCAGUUCAUCUUCUCCAAGAUUAAAAAAUGGGAGGGCUAGAAAUUAAGGAAAAAAACGAGAGCAAGAAAAAGGGGAAAAACAUAAGGGAUAGGAGUUCAUUGAGCAGCGCCGUAGCAGGGAGUAAUUCACAUCAUAAAAUUGCUUCCUCUCUACCGUGAUUUCAUCACAAACAGCCACUGACCUAAAGACACACGCACAAAGAGAAGUAAGAGGAGGAAUGGCAAAAACAGUAAGUAUUUUAGCUCUGAAAAGCUAUGGAAACAUAGUUGUAACACUGUCCUUUUAGCACCCUUAAAUAGCCCAUUCCUUCAUACCAAAAUUCUAGCCAAACAAUCUCCAACAUACUACUGUUUCAAUCCAAAACUCAUCUAAAAAAAAUAGCGAAAAACAACAUCAAACCCAGCCGGAGUUCAGUUUCGUCCAGGUUUAGUUUGAGUUUCUCGGAGAGCUUCGAGGUCGUCGGUGAUCGUUGUCUAGGGGCUCUUUUUAGUCGUACGUCGAGGUACUGUCUAUUGGUUUCCGGUUCGAGUUUCGUCUGGCGUUUUGAGGCUAAUUCUAAGAAAAAGUCGUGGUUGAUCAUUGAUUUGGUUGCAGGAAAAGGUUUAUAGUGAGUGCCUUGUUAUAGCCUUGUUACUACUUCGUCGAGGUUAGACUCGGUGUGACGACCCUAAAACUGAUCCGGUCAUGAUAGCGCCUAUCGUGGAACCAGUGCAGAACAAACAUACAAGCCCGACAUCGGGGUGUCACAAGUCAUGAGAAACUACAUCUCUGUCUCAAUUCAAUAAAGUCUAAACAAGACUGGAAGACCAUACUAACUAAAGCUAGGGAAGAUAGGAGGGAGAAGAACAGGGCUGCGAACGCCAUGCAGCUGCCUUGUCGACUCCGAAAUCCUGCUGAAUGGACAAUAAAUGCUCACUAUCGUGACCCGCAACUGCUGGAUCUGCACACAUGGUGCAGGGAGUAAUGUGAGUACGCCAACUCAAAAAGUAAUAAAAGUAAAUGAAAGCUGAGCAGAAAGAAAACACAUAAUUUUCCAUCAUAGCACUACAACAAAUACUGUAUAUUUCUCAAAAACAGUACAGAAACCAUUUUCUCGUAAAAUAACUCAGUUUCAAUAAAACUAUUUCCUUUUAAAACA
Molecule: long non-coding RNA, 1236 nt
Organism: Nicotiana tabacum (common tobacco)
Lineage: Eukaryota; Viridiplantae; Streptophyta; Magnoliopsida; Solanales; Solanaceae
Source: RefSeq, a predicted model, not a curated record